GAUGAACGCUGGCGGCGUGCCUAAUACAUGCAAGUCGAGCGAACGGACGAGAAGCUUGCUUCUCUGAUGUUAGCGGCGGACGGGGGAGUAACACGUGGAAAACCUACUUAUAAGACUGGGAUAACUUCGGGAAACCGGAGCUAAUACGGGAAAAUAUUUUGAACCGCAGGGUUCAAAAGUGAAAGACGUUCUUGCUGUCACUUAUAGAGGGAUCCGCGCUGCUUUAGCUAGUUGGUAAGGUAACGGCUUACCAAGGCAACGAUGCAUAGCCGACCUGAGAGGGUGAUCGGCCACACUGGAACUGAGACACGGUCCAGAAUCCUACGGGAGGCAGCAGUAGGGAAUCUUCCGCAAUGGGCGAAAGCCUGACGGAGCAACGCCGCGUGAGUGAUGAAGGUCUUCGGAUCGUAAAACUCUGUUAUUAGGGAAGAACAUAUGUGUAAGUAACUGUGCACAUCUUGACGGUACCUAAUCAGAAAGCCACGGCUAACUACGUG
RNAcentral lists this ribosomal RNA (497 nucleotides) under uncultured bacterium. Its description in RNAcentral is "partial 16S ribosomal RNA". It matches the Rfam family "Bacterial small subunit ribosomal RNA", at positions 28 to 507 of the family's 1533-position model. The record is from RNAcentral.